GGCGGGGUGGGGGGAGCUCGAUGCCACUCGGUCCUCGAAAUAGCAACAAUCACCAUGUGAUCUGGCAGAUGACGCAGCGCUUGUAACCGGAGCCUAAAGACUUUGUGGGGUGUGUGUGUGUGUGUGUGUGUGUGUGUGUGUGUGUGUGUGCGAGAGGGUGAGAGGGUUCAUGAACACCGCGCCGCCUUCACCCGGCAGCCGCCUUAAUUCACCUUGCUUUUCACCGUCCGCUUCUCUUCUGCUCUGGAUCAGGACUAUAAGGAAUGCAGGUGGAAAUCUAGGUGCUGAGAGUGAGCGUGACCACGGACACACAACCAGCAAGGAAAUGGGGACCUCAGUCUUACCGUGGCAGAAAACAGUCCUGUCCCAGCCAUGACAGCUUGGAAGAUGACCCUGAGGCCCAGAGGAGAGUGUAGGCUAGUUGGCAUGUUGGCCUCAGCCUUACGAGACCUCGAGCAGGGAAUCCAGCCAAGCCGCGCCCAGACUUCUCACCUCCAGAACAGUAAGAUAAGAGGUCCCAGGCAUGCUGCUGGACGACUGGGGACACACAGAGACAAGUAGGACACAGUGUGCACCCUCCAGAAACGGACGAGCGUGUGGGAGCAGCCGAGGGAUGGACACACAUACGUAAAUGACUAUUGCAAAGCUGUAGUGAAAAAUGAGGUUAUCCCAGUGCAAAGGAAGGGGCGGGGGAAACACUGGAUCCUUGAGUGUGUGUGAAUGUGAGUGUGAGAGAGAGACAGACAGAGACGUAGUGCCCCCCAGAGAGCAAGAAUCACCACAUCACCGAUUGAUACGUGCCCACUUUGUUGAAACUGAAGGACUAACUUGGUAAACAAAUGAACGAGGUAGUUGAAUUUCCGGUGUGGGAGACAGAAGGCCACACGCUUCCGGGAAAGUCUACGUGGAGAGACGAGGGCCGUGUGGAGGCCCCUCCAAGGACUGUGAAUUUUACCUUAGGAGGCACUGAGGAUUUAAUAAAAUGCCAUAACCAGGGAAAUUGUACGGUAAGUGACAUAUGGAAAGUUCCAAAGUGAUAUUUGAAAACAACCAACUAUAUCUGUAGCACCCAUAAAGUGAUACUAUAGUGUCCCGCGGGAUUUUAUGUUCGUUCAAUUCUGCAAAGACUGCUUUUUCCUUGUGAGUGUGCAAAUCCAUUCACCAGGAAAAUUGGGUUAAGAUAAUCAGAUUACAGAAAUACCGUUCCCGGACAGAGCCACCCUUGUGGUUCUGAACAUGUGUGUUUGUUUAACAGCUCACGCCAUACAUUCGAGCUAUCGUUCUAUUUGUGGGAGAACUGAGUCCAUUUAUCUUUUAGAAAAAUUAAAUCAUGUUCCCAAUAAAGACAAAAUUAAUAAGUAGCUAAUAUACAGGGUAGUAGGAAAUGCUUAUUAGCUUGUAGCAUGCGAGAGGGCAGUUUUUCAGUUGCUACUACUCAGGGGGCUGUGUGUGUAGGAAAGUAGGAAAAAGGGGGGGGCUAUCAGCAUGAGCAAGGAGAAAACAUUUUAUCGAUGCGUCAUCUUUAACAGUAAAAAUUGAUGCUAUACUCAGAAAAUGAAGAGUAGUAUGUUUGGGGCACCUGGGCAGCUCGGUGCGUUGAGUGUCCUACUUUGGCUCAGGUUAUGAUCUCAUAGUUCACGGGUUCGAGCCCCACGUCAGGCUCUUG
Long non-coding RNA from Leopardus geoffroyi (Geoffroy's cat), 1666 nucleotides. RefSeq lists it as uncharacterized. Lineage: Eukaryota; Metazoa; Chordata; Mammalia; Carnivora; Felidae. The record is from RefSeq and is a predicted model, not a curated record. The transcript has 3 exons.